This 612-nucleotide unclassified non-coding RNA is filed under the name Zea mays. Its description in RNAcentral is "misc RNA Zm00001eb067020". The record is from RNAcentral. Lineage: Eukaryota; Viridiplantae; Streptophyta; Magnoliopsida; Poales; Poaceae.
GUAUGACUCUGGUUUCCACGUGUUGCUCUUCAUAGAAAACUUUGAGAGGAGAUACCAAAUAUGUAAAAUAAACAAGAAAAUAAUGGAUGAAUAUCGCAUCAAAAUGUUCACGGACCUCAUCCUGAACCCUCUCAACAAAAGACAAACAAUCAUAACUCAAUCUAUUGAAGAUGAUGAGGUUAUUUGCUUGGAAGAUGGUUUCUCAUAUAACAAGAAUACUUUUGAAGCUGCUCUUGACAACGACGAAGCUAAAGAUUUGGAUGACAACUCAGAUUUCAGCAGUCCUUAUAACAUAGUUGCUGGCAGUGAGAAGGUUGUUGUUACUGCCAGUGAGAACGAUGACAAGAUGACUAAUGAUGAGAAGACUGUUGUAGAUGGCAAGAUAUCUGAUGCUGGUAGUGAGAAUGUUGUCAUGCCCAAGAACAUAACUUAUAGACAUAGAAAGAAAAGAACUAUCAGUCAGUCAGCCAAUCAGUCAGAUGAUGCAGGUAAUGCAGUAGAGUCAGAUGAUGCAGGGAAUGCAGCAGAGUCAGAUGAUGUAGGGAAUGCAGCUUAUUAGGUUGCCGCUGAUGUUCAACACUCUCCUGCUGAUGAUGGCACCGUUACAACUCC